UACGGAGGGUGCGAGCGUUAAUCGGAAUUACUGGGCGUAAAGCGCGCGUAGGUGGUCAGAUAAGUCGGGUGUGAAAGCCCUGGGCUUAACCUGGGAACUGCAUUCGAUACUGUCUGACUAGAGUAUGGUAGAGGGAAGUGGAAUUUCCGGUGUAGCGGUGAAAUGCGUAGAUAUCGGAAGGAACACCAGUGGCGAAGGCGGCUUCCUGGACCAAUACUGACACUGAGGUGCGAAAGCGUGGGGAGCAAACAGG
Molecule: ribosomal RNA, 253 nt
Filed under: uncultured bacterium
Lineage: Bacteria
Description: partial 16S ribosomal RNA
Rfam family: Bacterial small subunit ribosomal RNA
Source: RNAcentral